Long non-coding RNA from Xiphophorus maculatus (southern platyfish), 747 nucleotides. RefSeq lists it as uncharacterized. NCBI's taxonomy places the organism in Eukaryota, Metazoa, Chordata, Actinopteri, Cyprinodontiformes, Poeciliidae. The record is from RefSeq and is a predicted model, not a curated record. The transcript is spliced from 3 exons.
AUCUGAGAAAAGCCGAGAGGAGGAAAAGAAAAAAGAAAAAAAGAAAGAAAGAAAGAAAGAAAGAACGGUAUCAGUCACUGGUGAGAGAAGAUUUGUUUUGCUCGAAAGGCACGAGAUUAUAGGAAGUCAGAGAGGACCACAGGAGGGAUUGCAGGACGUCAAAGACAGCAGCCGUCAGUCAUGAGGACAGGCGGCCCUCGGUGUGUUCUGGGAUUUGCAGUGAACACUCUUUACAAGAUGAGAGGAGAGACGGGGGAACUUCCUCGGGGCUAAGCGACACGACAACAGGGUCAAUGACGCUUCGCUCAUGUCCGAGAGUCCAGCCCUGUCCAGCAUUCACACACACAACCUGUACCAGAGGCUUAGAUUGUGCCACAACAACCUUGCCCACCGUGAGUAUGUUGUUAAUUAGUCGUGACAGAGGCCUUCUGAUGAGACUCAUAUUUAAAUGAACUUGUUCUCCAAUGCCUCCUAUCCUUCCUCUUCUCUAUUAAUCUCGUCAUGUUCCCCCCAUUUCACCCCCCUGUUCUGUUGGUCAGCUUCCAGUCCAUUGUGCUGACAGCUGACAUAUCGCCAUGACGACGCUGCUAACGAGCACUGGCACAUGACCUUCAAGGAGGUCAAAGGGAUGCUGGUCAUUAACAUGACACGUCUUGCUUCACAUUUAUACUGCAUAAAUAAACAAAUCACAAGCAAGAAAAGAAAACUUUUUUAUAUUUAUUUCAUUUUUUUUCCCAUUGCUUCGGA